UACGUAGGCAGCAAGCGUUGUUCGGAAUUACUGGGCGUAAAGAGUGUGUAGGCGGUGCUCUAAGUCUGUUGUGAAAUCUCCCGGCUUAACUGGGAGGGUGCGGCGGAAACUGGAGUGCUUGAGGGUGGGAGAGGUAAGCGGAAUUCCUGGUGUAGCGGUGAAAUGCGUAGAUAUCAGGAGGAACACCUGUGGUGUAGACAGCUUACUGGACCACUUCUGACGCUGAGACACGAAAGCGUGGGUAGCAAACAGG
Molecule: ribosomal RNA, 253 nt
Filed under: uncultured bacterium
Lineage: Bacteria
Description: partial 16S ribosomal RNA
Rfam family: Bacterial small subunit ribosomal RNA
Source: RNAcentral